RNAcentral lists this ribosomal RNA (433 nucleotides) under uncultured bacterium. RNAcentral's name for it is "partial 16S ribosomal RNA". It matches the Rfam family "Bacterial small subunit ribosomal RNA", at positions 29 to 507 of the family's 1533-position model. The record is from RNAcentral.
AACGAACGCUGGCGGCAGGCUUAACACAUGCAAGUCGAGCGCAUCCUUCGGGGUGAGCGGCGGACGGGUGAGUAACGCGUGGGAACGUGCCCUCUUCUACGGAAUAGCCUCGGGAAACUGAGAGUAAUGCCGUAUACGCCCGCAAGGGGAAAGAUUUAUCGGAGGAGGAUCGGCCCGCGUUGGAUUAGGUAGUUGGUGGGGUAACGGCCUACCAAGCCGACGAUCCAUAGCUGGUUUGAAAGGAUGAUCAGCCACACUGGGACUGAGACACGGCCCAGACUCCUACGGGAGGCAGCAGUGGGGAAUCUUGGACAAUGGGGGCAACCCUGAUCCAGCCAUGCCGCGUGAUCGAUGAAGGCCUUAGGGUUGUAAAGAUCUUUCAGCUGGGAAGAUAAUGACGGUACCAGCAGAAGAAGCCCCGGCUAACUCCGUG